Hydra vulgaris (swiftwater hydra) is the source of this 371-nucleotide non-coding RNA. NCBI's taxonomy places the organism in Eukaryota, Metazoa, Cnidaria, Hydrozoa, Anthoathecata, Hydridae. The record is from RefSeq and is a predicted model, not a curated record.
UGUUCUGGAUGUGCUUUAAAGCUAAGAAUCCAAGCUUAACACUCAAGCGACAAGGAAAUGUGUCAAUAAAUAGAGCUCUCAAUUUCACAAAGGAAAUGGCAUGUUCCCACCUUGACAGUCUUGCAGAGGAAUUGAUCGAGGCUGGCAUUAUGACUGAAGCAGCCCAAAAGGAGACAGGAGUUUGGUCUGGAAAUAUUGAUCUAUGCAGAAUAUUGUAAAAUGUUGUAAAAUGAUAAGAGAGAACCGUGAAUGUGUCACCAUUCAUCCUCUAGUAUCAUUUUCAGGAGACCUUUGUGUCUGUCAAGUACUCUUUGGUACUGUUGGAAUAACUAAUCAAAUGGCUCCACAGGAAGCUGUGGCAAAUAUUCUGC